GUCCCCGUAGUUCAACGGAUAGAACGGGGGUUUCCUAAACCCUAAAUGCAAGUUCGAUUCUUGCCGGGGACACAA
This 75-nucleotide transfer RNA is filed under the name Candidatus Woesebacteria bacterium. RNAcentral's name for it is "tRNA-Arg". It matches the Rfam family "tRNA". Rfam says of the family: Transfer RNA (tRNA) molecules are approximately 80 nucleotides in length. The record is from RNAcentral. Lineage: Bacteria; Candidatus Woeseibacteriota.